CUCGUCUACACCCGGGGGCGCCCUGUGCGAACCCCCCACCCCUCGUCUACACCCGGGGGCGCCCUGUGCGAACCCCCCACCCCUCGUCUACACCAGGGGGCGCCCUGUGCGAACCCCCCACUCGUCUACACCCGGGGGCGCCCUGUGCGAAUCCCCCCCUCGUCUACACCCGGGGGCGCCCUGUGCCGCCCCGGCAAGUUGCCGCCAGCGGCGGCUGCCCAUGUCGCCCGUACCUAAAUCCACAAAAUAAAUCUCUUUUCCAAAAUUCGUCAUCUCUCUCAUGUCUUAUUCGACUAGUAUUUUUGAAAGUGUAAGGAUAAUAAUUCAUAGUUGUUCUGAAAUGUUUAUUGCUUGCCAACAUUUUACUCCCUCCUCUGUUUAAUAUAACACACAUACAUUUAAUUAUUAAUUUCGGUUACCUAUCCUGACAUGAAGUUUGUUCUAUAGAAUGUAUUUGACUGUGUGCCACAGAAGGUAUUUGACUCUAGCCACAAAACUAUGGAAAUUAGAAGGGGGGGAGGGAGAAUUCAGUCAGGGGGGAGAUCUUCGGCACAACACCGGCCCCGGAAGAGGACCGCUUCUGGGCCGAUUCCUCAUUGGUGGCUGGGAUACCUCAUCGUUGAGAUAGUUCAACUGCUACGUAGAUACAUGGAUAGCAUGAGAAAAAACAACCACCUUUAUAAUACAUCCCAUUCGCGUUGUGAACGGUCAUCCAACACGGAAUUCCAACAGGGGAAAUCUGGCCUCUUUCUGGAGCGCCGACUUCCUGACACUGAAGGUCACUGACCUCAUGAUUCGACCUCGUUUUUCUCGAGUUCCCAGUUGUCUUGAAAGCGCCAUAAUGCUGCACAAAUGAUGGACAUGACAGGCCACUUUGACACUGACAACCUGAGAUGAAGGAAAACGACCGUGUCUGGAAUCAGUAAAUAUCCCAGGUGUGUGGAGACACAGUGUAGGCUACAAUACGAGGAGGAAAUGAUAGUCCUAAAAAUGCUUUCCAGUUUCACUGACUCACCCAAUGAUGUGCUGCUCACUCUCUGGUGAUGGCAUAUGCGCUAAUACUAACAGCCUGUCUCUCACUCACUACUUCUUUCUCUCGUUUUACUUUGUAAAACACUAUUUGCAAGUUGAUGAAAUAUCUUGGUAGCCUACAUUUUACAGAUUAGUCUUCUCUUUUCAGCAGGAGCCAUUUGCUUUCCAACCUGUGUUUUCCCGCGACUGUAGACUUUGUAAUAUUGCAAAAGGUUUUGUCUGCAUUCUUUGUUCUCUGACAGAUUUGUUGCGUGUUCCUGACUGGAGGCUAUGCCUUGUUCUUGGUCUACACCCCACACCUAGCCAACGUUUUAGGCUUUCUAAUGAUGUCGUAAACUAUUCGGAAUCAUUUCAUUUAUUUCUGAACAGACAGCAGUAAUUCUAUAACUUUGUCAAAUGUAUUUGAAUUUAUCAGGCGUGCUGCAGCUCCUCCAGAAGCCAUCGCGCGGCUCUAUAAGGACUGGGAAGCGAAGCGACAAGGUAUUUCUAUACCUCCCGUCGGGCGGAGGUGGUGAUUUAUAGACAGCGUCGCUGGGGAAACCAACCACAUUUCAUUUAGAUCACGUCAGCCUGCUCGGCGGCGGAAUCCUCCCUGGUUGGCUGUUUAGACGCUGGGAGGCCCUGGGAGGCCCUGGGAGGCCCUGGUAAUGGGAAAACGUCUGCAUCGAUAUAUCUCCCCCGCGAGGCCAUUCGACCCCCCCCCCCUCCAUUCGAAGCAGACGCUCCUACAAAUGCAUCACCCUCCUGAGAUAAGUUUGCGACGCAUGCAGAUACAUCAUUUUUACCGGACUGGAAUCCAUUACUGGGAGAGGUAGAGAGUAGGCUAAGCAAGACCAGGGCCGGGGGUGGUAGAACGGCCUGGUGGGGCACUGUAAACACACACACACACACACACAGCUUACCUGGUCUCUCAGUCGUACAGGUAUCAUAAACAUCGUUAUAAAACAGCCAUCAGGCCAUCAUAGGGGUCAUUUCUGUUCCUUAAGGAUCACAAUGGAACUGUCAAAGGCAGUGGUGGAAAAAGUACCCAAUACACACACACACACACACCAGUGGUGGAAAAAGUACCCAAUACACACACACACACACCAGUGGUGGAAAAAGUACCCAAUACACACACACACACACACACACACCAGUGGUGGAAAAAGUACCCAAUACACACACACACCAGUGGUGGAAAAAGUACCCAAUACACACACACACACCAGUGGUGGAAAAAGUACCCAAU
Molecule: long non-coding RNA, 2263 nt
Filed under: Salmo salar (Atlantic salmon)
Lineage: Eukaryota; Metazoa; Chordata; Actinopteri; Salmoniformes; Salmonidae
Description: lncRNA (ENSSSAG00000098139.1)
Source: RNAcentral